RNAcentral lists this ribosomal RNA (429 nucleotides) under uncultured bacterium. RNAcentral's name for it is "bacterial SSU rRNA". It matches the Rfam family "Bacterial small subunit ribosomal RNA", at positions 355 to 776 of the family's 1533-position model. The record is from RNAcentral.
UCGAGGAUCAUUCGCAAUGCGCGAAAGCGUGACGAUGCGACGCUGCGUGGAGGACGACGGCCUUCGGGUUGUAAACUCCUGUCAUGAGGGACAAGACGGCCUCCGUUAACACCGGGGGCCACCGAUGGUACCUCAAGAGGAAGCCACGGCUAACUCUGUGCCAGCAGCCGCGGUAAUACAGAGGUGGCGAGCGUUGUUCGGAUUUACUGGGCGUAAAGCGUGCGUAGGCGGUCUUGCGUGUCGGACGUGAAAUCCCGGGGCUCACCCCCGGAAGUGCGUACGAAACUGCAGGACUAGGGUCCGGGAGGGGGGAUCGGAAUGCAUGGUGUAGCGGUGAAAUGCGUUGAUAUCAUGCGGAACACCGGUGGCGAAGGCGGAUCCCUGGAACGGUACCGACGCUGAGGCACGAAAGCGUGGGGAGCAAACAGG